Molecule: unclassified non-coding RNA, 240 nt
Filed under: soil metagenome
Description: partial contains 5.8S ribosomal RNA, internal transcribed spacer 2, and large subunit ribosomal RNA
Source: RNAcentral
AACAUCGCGCACCUGCGGGAACCUGCGGAGGGAUCAUUAUCGAAUUGUUAGGGAGGUUGUCGCUGGCUUGUUAUGAGCAUGUGCACGCCUUCUAUGCAUUCAUAUUUACCCCUCUGUGCACUCUUUGUAGACUUGGAGAUAGCUCUCAACCCUAGUUGGAUGGAGGAUGAUGCAUUGAUGUGCUCAUCUUCAAUUUCACAAGUCUAUGCUUUCAUAUACUCGAAAUGUUUUGAAUGGUAU